GACGAACGCUGGCGGCGUGCCUAAUACAUGCAAGUCGAGCGGAGUUGAUGAGAUGCUUGCAUCUCUGAUACUUAGCGGCGGACGGGUGAGUAACACGUGGGUAACCUGCCUUUAAGACUGGGAUAACAUUCGGAAACGGAUGCUAAUACCGGAUAGGCGAUUUGGUCGCAUGAUCGAAUCGAGAAAGAUGGAGCAAUCUAUCGCUUAGAGAUGGACCCGCGGCGCAUUAGCUAGUUGGUGAGGUAACGGCUCACCAAGGCGACGAUGCGUAGCCGACCUGAGAGGGUGAUCGGCCACACUGGGACUGAGACACGGCCCAGACUCCUACGGGAGCUG
This 336-nucleotide ribosomal RNA is filed under the name uncultured Bacillota bacterium. Its description in RNAcentral is "bacterial SSU rRNA". It matches the Rfam family "Bacterial small subunit ribosomal RNA", at positions 28 to 351 of the family's 1533-position model. The record is from RNAcentral. Lineage: Bacteria; Bacillati; Bacillota.